RNAcentral lists this long non-coding RNA (1216 nucleotides) under Malus domestica (apple). RNAcentral's name for it is "long non-coding RNA (MDOM_LNC009373)". The record is from RNAcentral. Lineage: Eukaryota; Viridiplantae; Streptophyta; Magnoliopsida; Rosales; Rosaceae.
AGUUUCGGUUCGAUUUUUUUUUGCUUCGAUUCGGUUCGGUUUUCGGUUUUUUGAACCCACCCCUAUGUGAUAUUGUUAUUACCCUUAAACAUUCCCAUGCUAGUAUACUUUGUGGAUACAACAUGGAUUUCUAAAUUAUGUUUUCUGUUGAAUAAUUGUUUUUAUAAGCCAUCGAUCUACUUUAUGAAAUGUUAUGUGAUUUGCCUAUUUGGAAUUGUUUAUGAAGUGUGUUUUGAAAUAUAUAUAUCAUUUUGAAAUGUUUGUUAAACGUGAGGGCUAGUAAAUGACCGAUACCCUAGUGUCACGGGGUUAGGUGACAUCGAGUCUGCACCAUGUAGUAGUGGUACAUGGAUGGUCCUGCUUGGUUAAUCCGUUAUAGGGGACCAUUGUCACGCCCCGAUCCCGACAUACAUCCAGGAUCGACACAUGACGUCACCAAAUACCUGUAUCUCAACCUACCCCGCCUUUGAGAUACGUACAUAGCAUAAUUCAACAUCCAUAUCUCAUAGAAAUUUUUGUAUAUUUUAUGGUUGCAUCUAACCUCCUCGUUGCCUACGUACCCUCAAUAGGGAUCAAGUCAUUCGUAAUUCAUUGUUUCACUACAAUCGAAUAUCCAUCACAUAAAACGUUUUGUCCCAACAAUAUACCAUAAUCAUAUUAUGUGAUAUAUCAAAGAACAAAGACGAAACACAACACAUUUUCUAGCCAUAUUUAUCAACAAGUCUAAUCAUAACAAAUACAAUGAUAUCCAACAUAACAAUCCCACAUGACGAUUAACAUUUCCACCUGAUCCAUCACAUAAAUCAUCAUGUUUCACAUAUCACCGCAAACAUAGUAUGCAACAUCUCAAAGAACGGUCAACGAAGCACAAUGUUAUUAUCUAGCCACAUUGUUCAAUAAGUCUAAUCAUAAUGGCAACAAUCACAACCAUCAUUCACAAUCACAUCAAUCAAUAUCACAUAUCAUAGACCGAAAUGCAGGGCUAGAACAACACAGUUUGGCCGAAGACUACAUUUCUGGAAAGGGGAUUUUGGACCAUCCAACAAAAUCAAAGCACCAAAGGGGACUCCGGACCAUCACUCAACGGAAUCCAAAUCAAGAUACGAUUCCGGACCAUCACUCAACGGAAUCGCGGAGUAGAAGGGAUUCUGGACCAUCACUCAACGAAAUCCAAAUCAGGAUACGAUUCCAGACCAUCACUUAACGAAAUCCAAGC